GGUGAAUUGGUGUAGGGGUAGCAUGCGGCCUUGUGGAUACUCGAGAAAUCUAGUCAACAACUCGGCCUCGACGGCGGUUCGAUUCCGUCAUUCGCCA
This is a non-coding RNA of Delphinella strobiligena, 97 nucleotides long. The record is from the annotation of a GenBank genome assembly. Lineage: Eukaryota; Fungi; Ascomycota; Dothideomycetes; Dothideales; Dothioraceae.